UGUUCUCUCCUUGCUUGGAGAAGGCCGUCUCAAAGCUCUUAUUUCUGCUCCGAGGACCGAGCAUCGAGGAGGGAUCACAGAGGAGCUAUAGGCGGGGAUACACGGAGCCGCCUUCCUGGAAGCGAUUCAUAAAACACUUUUG
Molecule: long non-coding RNA, 142 nt
Organism: Etheostoma cragini (Arkansas darter)
Lineage: Eukaryota; Metazoa; Chordata; Actinopteri; Perciformes; Percidae
Exons: 3
Source: RefSeq, a predicted model, not a curated record